This 739-nucleotide ribosomal RNA is filed under the name Pseudomonas aeruginosa. RNAcentral's name for it is "bacterial SSU rRNA". It matches the Rfam family "Bacterial small subunit ribosomal RNA", at positions 56 to 790 of the family's 1533-position model. Lineage: Bacteria; Pseudomonadati; Pseudomonadota; Gammaproteobacteria; Pseudomonadales; Pseudomonadaceae. The record is from RNAcentral.
UGCAGUCGAGCGGAUGAAGGGAGCUUGCUCCUGGAUUCAGCGGCGGACGGGUGAGUAAUGCCUAGGAAUCUGCCUGGUAGUGGGGGAUAACGUCCGGAAACGGGCGCUAAUACCGCAUACGUCCUGAGGGAGAAAGUGGGGGAUCUUCGGACCUCACGCUAUCAGAUGAGCCUAGGUCGGAUUAGCUAGUUGGUGGGGUAAAGGCCUACCAAGGCGACGAUCCGUAACUGGUCUGAGAGGAUGAUCAGUCACACUGGAACUGAGACACGGUCCAGACUCCUACGGGAGGCAGCAGUGGGGAAUAUUGGACAAUGGGCGAAAGCCUGAUCCAGCCAUGCCGCGUGUGUGAAGAAGGUCUUCGGAUUGUAAAGCACUUUAAGUUGGGAGGAAGGGCAGUAAGUUAAUACCUUGCUGUUUUGACGUUACCAACAGAAUAAGCACCGGCUAACUUCGUGCCAGCAGCCGCGGUAAUACGAAGGGUGCAAGCGUUAAUCGGAAUUACUGGGCGUAAAGCGCGCGUAGGUGGUUCAGCAAGUUGGAUGUGAAAUCCCCGGGCUCAACCUGGGAACUGCAUCCAAAACUACUGAGCUAGAGUACGGUAGAGGGUGGUGGAAUUUCCUGUGUAGCGGUGAAAUGCGUAGAUAUAGGAAGGGAACACCAGUGGCGAAGGCGACCACCUGCACUGAUACUGACACUGAGGUGCGAAAGCGUGGGGAGCAAACAGGAUUAGAUACCCUGC